This 535-nucleotide unclassified non-coding RNA is filed under the name Eriophorum gracile. Its description in RNAcentral is "partial external transcribed spacer 1F". The record is from RNAcentral. Lineage: Eukaryota; Viridiplantae; Streptophyta; Magnoliopsida; Poales; Cyperaceae.
UUCUUGACUUGCUCUUCAUGGCGGGCUCUUCGCGUUUUCGCGCGACCAACCGACGUGGGGCUGUCUCUUCACUCUCCCGGCCGUCAGCAAAAUUUGCUGGGUUGGGAUGCUUGUCAUCGGUUGCCUGUGUGGUUUUACCCUUUUGUAGGUAGCGAUGUCGUCCCUUGAUGGAUAUUUGCUUGCCCCGGCUGACAUUGUUUUGUCGCUUCGGUAGCCGAAAUGUCGGUGGAAUCCUUGUGUCGUUGCGUGGGCGAAUGCCUUGUUACAGUCACUUGGAUUUUUGCCGGCUCUCACGGAUGUUGUGCCCCAUCGUUAGCUCUGCGGGGCUCUGUCCCACAGACUUCGGGAGGUCCCUUGCAUGGAUCAUUGCUCUUGCGCUUGAUUGUCAAAUCUGCGCGUGAGGAGCGUGCUGACGUGCAUGUGGAACGCCUCUCCGAUCGUAUGAACAGCGAUUGUCGGUUUGCGUCAUGAGAAGGGCCUCCCGUUCGGGUUGGUGCUGGAUCAUUGCUCUUGCCGACUAUCGUUUAAGACGUGC